Rhodocollybia butyracea is the source of this 71-nucleotide non-coding RNA. The record is from the annotation of a GenBank genome assembly. Lineage: Eukaryota; Fungi; Basidiomycota; Agaricomycetes; Agaricales; Omphalotaceae.
UCCCUUGUGGUCUAGUGGUUUGAUGCUCUACUUUGACCAAAGUGGUGUGGGUUCGUAUCCCACCAAGGGUA